AACUUUCAACAAAGGAUCUCUUGGCUCUUGCAUCGAUGAAGAACGUAGCGAAGCGCGAAAUGUAGUGUGAAUCGCAGAACACUGUGAAUCAUCGAAUCUUUGAACGCACAUUGCGCCCCUUUCCGAGGGGCAUGCCUGUCUGAGCGUCAUUU
RNAcentral lists this ribosomal RNA (152 nucleotides) under uncultured fungus. Its description in RNAcentral is "5.8S ribosomal RNA". It matches the Rfam family "5.8S ribosomal RNA". From Rfam's summary of the family: 5.8S ribosomal RNA (5.8S rRNA) is a component of the large subunit of the eukaryotic ribosome. It is transcribed by RNA polymerase I as part of the 45S precursor that also contains 18S and 28S rRNA. The record is from RNAcentral. Lineage: Eukaryota; Fungi.